This 487-nucleotide ribosomal RNA is filed under the name uncultured bacterium. RNAcentral's name for it is "bacterial SSU rRNA". It matches the Rfam family "Bacterial small subunit ribosomal RNA", at positions 501 to 987 of the family's 1533-position model. The record is from RNAcentral.
CUACGUGCCAGCAGCCGCGGUAAUACGUAGGGUGCGAGCGUUAAUCGGAAUUACUGGGCGUAAAGCGGGCGCAGACGGUUACUUAAGCAGGAUGUGAAAUCCCCGGGCUCAACCUGGGAACUGCGUUCUGAACUGGGUGACUAGAGUGUGUCAGAGGGAGGUAGAAUCCCACGUGUAGCAGUGAAAUGCGUAGAGAUGUGGAGGAAUACCGAUGGCGAAGGCAGCCUCCUGGGAUAACACUGACGUUCAUGCCCGAAAGCGUGGGUAGCAAACAGGAUUAGAUACCCUGGUAGUCCACGCCCUAAACGAUGUCGAUUAGCUGUUGGGCAGCAUGACUGCUUAGUAGCGAAGCUAACGCGUGAAAUCGACCGCCUGGGGAGUACGGUCGCAAGAUUAAAACUCAAAGGAAUUGACGGGGACCCGCACAAGCGGUGGAUGAUGUGGAUUAAUUCGAUGCAACGCGAAGAACCUUACCUGGUCUUGACAU